RNAcentral lists this ribosomal RNA (287 nucleotides) under Nitrospinota bacterium. RNAcentral's name for it is "partial 16S ribosomal RNA". It matches the Rfam family "Bacterial small subunit ribosomal RNA", at positions 1 to 276 of the family's 1533-position model. Lineage: Bacteria; Pseudomonadati; Nitrospinota. The record is from RNAcentral.
CAAUUGGAGAGUUUGAUCCUGGCUCAGAGCGAACGCUGGCGGCGUGCCUAACACAUGCAAGUCGAACGAGAAAGCCUUCGGGCAAGUAGAGUGGCGGACGGGUGAGUAACACGUGAGCAACCUGUCUCCGGGUCUGGAAUAACCUUCCGAAAGGGGGGCUAAUACCGGAUAAGACCACAGAGCCUAAUGGUUCAGCGGUAAAAGGUGGCCUCUCCAUGGAAGCUACCGUCUGGAGAUGGGCUCGCGGCCCAUUAGCUUGUUGGUGAGGUAACGGCUCACCAAGGCAA